Long non-coding RNA from Neofelis nebulosa (Clouded leopard), 1436 nucleotides. RefSeq lists it as uncharacterized. The transcript has 8 exons. Lineage: Eukaryota; Metazoa; Chordata; Mammalia; Carnivora; Felidae. The record is from RefSeq and is a predicted model, not a curated record.
GGCGCGGCCCCGGCCCCGCUCGCCCCCGCGCCUCCCGCGGCUCGGCCCCCGGCCCGGACCGCCCCCAGCCCGCCGACCCCACGGGCCGCCUAGAACCCCCGUCCCGGGGAAGGGCUGAACGGGCUCCCGCGCCGGCCUCGGGGUCGGGGCUCAGGAGGACACGACCCCACAGGACCGUGUCGGCCCGUCUGCGACAGGUGGCACGUACCUGCCUCUUCUCCGAGGAUGGACGAGUCGAGCCGGGCACAAGCAUGGAGCUGCGGGUGAGUCCCGGCUGGUACUGGCGCGGCGCAGUGAGCAGCAGCUGACGCAGAGGGCUCCCUGGCCUCGGCUCCUGCCCGCCUCUCCCCCACCUCCGCCGGGGGCCCAGAAAGGACCUCCCCGGGAAAUCGGCGCCACCCAGCGGGCAGCCGCCUCAUUGCGCCCGGCCGGCAAAGCCACGCCGCGCGUCUCGCGUCACUGAGAUGCGUCAAGGCUAUUGGCUUGUCCCAAUUGUGACGUCAGGAGAGCCCCGCCCGGCCUGGGUCUCCCAGGCGACCGGUAUAUACAGAGAAGCACGUGGAGGCAAAGCCCGCGAGUUUGGAAGGGGUGGAGCUCGACCAGAAGCGGACGGGGUAUGUGUACUAUUCUUAUCUCCAUUUUACAAAUGAGGAAACUGAGGCACAGAGAAGCUCAUCAACAGGGUGAACUGAAUCUUUGGAAAUACCCUAAGGUCAUUUGGAUUCAACCCUGAAAUACAAGGCACUUCUUUGCUCCUCUGCUGCGUUCCAGGCACUGUUCUGGUGCCGGGCAACAGAAGGGCACAGGCCCUGCCUCUGAACGCCGCUGGGUCCCAUUCAUCUUCCUUCUGCCUCGUGGACAGUUCGCAAGUGACCUCCCCCUGCAACUCUGGAGCCACUUCAGCAGAAGAGGGAGGCAGCUGUCCUUCUAAGGGGCCUUCUGUCAUGCUUACAGUACAGACAAUAACAUGGGGCUGGUGUCUCUGUGACCCAGGAGCCCCUCCCCAGGCAGCGCCUGCCCUCGCCCUGGCUCAGGCCCCAAGGACCACCUGCCUCUGGCCUGUAUCUAGGGCCACACCAGUGACAUCUCCAAGCCUCGGUGUUCUCACCUGUCACAUGGUGACAUCACACCUGGCUUUCCUGCCCUCUGACUGAGCAAGUGAAAUCCCCAGGUCUCAAGGAACUGUUCCGGCACCCAUCGGGUGGGAUAGCACCAAGGAUCCGGAUGGAGGAGGAGGCCUGGAAACCCACACGGCCCAACAGCAAGUUUUCUAGCAGUUGGAGAUGAAAAUGUCGCCCCAAAGCCCAAGCUCAAGGACGCGUGGCCCCCUCUCCCGCUCACCCUGAACCUCCAAUCCUGUUUCCACUUGGGGAGUCACCUGGUCUUCAAGUGCCCCCUGAGGCACAUUAGCCUUUCAAUAAAGCCUUGAAUCUCUG